GGGGCUGUGGCUCAGAGGUAGAGUGCCCACCUACAUGUGUGAGGCACUGGGUUUGAUUCCCCAGCACCA
Molecule: transfer RNA, 69 nt
Filed under: Marmota monax (woodchuck)
Lineage: Eukaryota; Metazoa; Chordata; Mammalia; Rodentia; Sciuridae
Description: tRNA.Undet
Source: RNAcentral